This 373-nucleotide ribosomal RNA is filed under the name uncultured organism. Its description in RNAcentral is "partial 16S ribosomal RNA". It matches the Rfam family "Bacterial small subunit ribosomal RNA", at positions 527 to 896 of the family's 1533-position model. The record is from RNAcentral.
GUAGGUGGCAAGCGUUGUCCGGAAUUAUUGGGCGUAAAGCGCGCGCAGGCGGUUCUUUAAGUCUGAUGUGAAAGCCCACGGCUCAACCGUGGAGGGUCAUUGGAAACUGGAGAACUUGAGUACAGAAGAGGAAAGCGGAAUUCCACGUGUAGCGGUGAAAUGCGUAGAGAUGUGGAGGAACACCAGUGGCGAAGGCGGCUUUCUGGUCUGUAACUGACGCUGAGGCGCGUAAGCGUGGGGAGCAAACAGGGAUUAGAUACCCUGGUAGUCCACGCCGUAAACGAUGAGUGCUAAGUGUUAGGGGGUUUCCGCCCCCUUAGUGCUGCAGCUAACGCAUUAAGCACUCCGCCUGGGGAGUACGGCCGCAAGGCUG